AUAAAGGGAUGGGGUAAAAACAGGAUAAUCAAAAAGAGGGAAUAUGGGUUCUUCUUCAAAAUGUGAAAUCCAUUUGGGAUUUCGAAUCUCUGAUUCUCCUCCUCACAGCGGCGAUUAAGACGAGGAAUGGUCUUCAUUGUCUUCCUUCUCUCCUCCAACGAUAACAACGGUAGUUUGGGGUUAGCGAAAUCGAAGGAAUCAUCUCCCUUUUCCUUGGUUCGAACCGAUCGAGACCCUCCACCAUAAAGGGAAGCGCCGAUUUAUGGUGGUUCUCACGGCUGGAACCACCUUCUUCCCAGUGGCUCUAAAAAAACAGUGAAUCCUCCCAUUAAAGCAUUGGAGGGAGUUAAGUGGGGAUAUCUGUUUUUUCCUUAAUAUGCUCUCUUGAAAGCCAAAUGCUACAUGGUUUUGAAUUAUUGGAUGUAAAUGCUUAUUAAUUGUCUGAAUUAAGGAUGUAGACAAUGACUUGAAUUGCAUGCUGUAAAUUAGAAUUAAUUUAUUGUCAAAUGUUAUAUAAUUAAUUGAUAUCCUACCAUAUUACCAAAGUUGUAACAAAUCUAAUUUUUAAAGUUGUGUAAUUGGAGUUUUUUUAAGCCCCAAUAAUUACAAUAUAUAUCAACC
Lupinus albus (white lupine) is the source of this 621-nucleotide non-coding RNA. The record is from the annotation of a GenBank genome assembly. Lineage: Eukaryota; Viridiplantae; Streptophyta; Magnoliopsida; Fabales; Fabaceae.